CUGGCUUUUCCCUCCCUCCCAGCGCUCAUCUCCUGCCAGUGCCUCCCAUUGGCUGAACCAACCAGGAAGCCGGAGUGCAAGGGAUCCUGGGAAAUGUAGUCUGAAGAGCUCAGUCCCGGUAACCCAGCAGAGUGAGAGGGAGAGAUCCAGGGGAACAGGAAAUGACAGGCGACUGGCCUCGGCUGGGCAGUGGGAAUGAGAAGGUGUUCCACCCCUGCCUAAAGGCCGGAGAUUGUCUCAGCUGACGUCUUUGAGUAUUUGAUCCAUACAGCAAUAGAGGGGUGAGAAACAAGGGGAGAAGUCUCUGCCACCCUGUUCCCAGGAGGAGAGGAGGGCAGGAGAGCGACUAUAGGGCUUGAAAGAAUAACAAAGAAAAAACAGGCAUGUGAGUUUUCUGAUCCUGGAUGGACGUUUUCCAGAAAAGGAAACUAAAUCUUCAUUGAUCCAUAGGAAGAAGGAAGCUCUCAGCCCCGUGAUGUCGUGGCACAAAGUCAGAGGCUUGGAGACCUCAACUCACUCAGGGCAUGAAGAAGAAAACUCAUUCAGAAGCAGGGGCAGUCUGACGAAGGAUAUGAAGGACUUCAAGAGUUUUUUCAGCUUGCUGAUAUAUCUUCAGCCUCCAGAACAGUGCCUAGGAUAUCAAAUAUAUUCAAUGAAUGUUUGCUGACUGAA
This is a long non-coding RNA of Marmota monax (woodchuck), 672 nucleotides long. RefSeq lists it as uncharacterized. NCBI's taxonomy places the organism in Eukaryota, Metazoa, Chordata, Mammalia, Rodentia, Sciuridae. The transcript is spliced from 4 exons. The record is from RefSeq and is a predicted model, not a curated record.